RNAcentral lists this ribosomal RNA (461 nucleotides) under uncultured bacterium. RNAcentral describes it as "partial 16S ribosomal RNA". It matches the Rfam family "Bacterial small subunit ribosomal RNA", at positions 28 to 506 of the family's 1533-position model. The record is from RNAcentral.
GACGAACGCUGGCGGCGUGCUUAACACAUGCAAGUCGAACGGAAAGGCCCUUCGGGGUCCUCGAGUGGCGAACGGGUGAGUAACACGUGGGUGAUCUGCCCUGCACUUUGGGAUAAGCCUGGGAAACUGGGUCUAAUACCGAAUAGGACCACGCGCUUCAUGGUGUGUGGUGGAAAGCUUUUGCGGUGUGGGAUGGGCCCGCGGCCUAUCAGCUUGUUGGUGGGGUAAUGGCCUACCAAGGCGACGACGGGUAGCCGGCCUGAGAGGGUGACCGGCCACACUGGGACUGAGAUACGGCCCAGACUCCUACGGGAGGCAGCAGGGGGGAAUAUUGCACAAUGGGCGCAAGCCUGAUGCAGCGACGCCGCGUGAGGGAGGACGGCCUUCGGGUUGUAAACCUCUUUCAAUAGGGACGAAGCGCAAGGGACGGUACCUAUAGAAGAAGCACCGGCCAACUACGU